UCCCCUAUAUUUGCACGGUGUACCAACUAUAUACAUCCACAUACACAUAGACAACUCACAACAUACCUUCACCAUACCUCGCAAAACAUUUAAUCAGAUACAAAUGCCUAUACAGCUAGCCAUCCUUAUGAGUAAUGUAUUCUCUACACACUCCUUUGGCACUGGAUGAUGCAAUGCACAAUGCAUCAAGCAUCCUAUCACUUGAAAGUAUUUCCCACCCAGAAGCUUUAUUUUGAAAUUCCAAAUGAACAAUAAACUAAAGACCAUUUCGAAAGCCAUUUUGAAAACUGUUUUCCACACAAAACCAUAUCUUUUGAAAACUAACUAACAUGAGGGGUAGAAAACCGGAUGCUAUGAAAGCCAUAAAAACCAUACUUUCGUACAUCUAUGAUAACCGUGCAUAUAUUUACAGUCAACUCAAAAUCAUAAUCUAGGAAUCCAUACAUAACCACAAUCAUUAUUCAAGAGUAAUGAAAAUAGUCGUCUAACUGAACUAGUCGUUAAUCAAAUGCUAAACUAAAAGAAAGAAAGAUAAACCAGGGUAGGGAUCCCUAAUGCGAUCUAACUAGCUGAACCUCACGCCGCACUAUGACCUGCCUCCUCACCUGUGCCACCUGUGAAAAUAGUGGGGUGAGAUACCAACUUGAGCUUUUCCAGUGGAUACGACAAAGUCACGACGACAAGCCAUAUUCACUGAAAAAUAAAUAGUGGAGAUAAAGCAAAUAUAUAUCAUGAGCGAAAAAGUAAAACUACAGUAGCAAUAUGAAUAGAUACGAAAAGUAUAUAAUCGAAAUGCCGCUACUAUAAAAGAGUCCUAUCCACCAUAUGCCUCAAAGGACAAAGUCCGAAACCUGUACCCAAUCCAUAUCCUAUCAUAUUGGUUCGUUGACCUCAGAUGAUGCCUGUCACUAUAUAAUGCACUAGUCCUGAUCCACGCAUCAUGCUAGAUGACCUAUUUGGAUGAGUACACCCCUAGUUAGUGGCUAAACCGACCGAGUGUUUAGAAUACUCCUGAACGCAAUGAUGAAUCAUGCGAGAUGAUCAACAUAACCUUCGGCAUAAAGCUGAUGCCUUGGCCGAAGCCAGAUGCCGUGGUGUAUAGACACCGAAACCCUGAUCAAACAGAUUGCAACACAACAAUGAAAGAUAUGUUGUGUUGCCUGAACCUAAAAGUCCCCAAAGAGUUAAGUGACACUAGCCUGCUCUACAUGUCUAAAACCAACUAUCACUAUGCAAGAUAAAAGCUCAGAUAUACUCGGAAUAAUGAAAAGGUACCGACAUGUAGAGAACGAAUAUAAUAAGUGUCAUGAUAUAAAAGGAAUAGCGAAGAUACAGCCUCACUUACUACCAGCUUGAAGCACCUACCUCUACGUAGAAUAUACCCGGGUUGUCAACCCCCUGCCAAUGCUUCUCAUUACAGUCCGGACCUAUGCAAAGUCCAUCCGAAAUCAUAAUUAUCCUAACCCGCUAAUUACAAAGCCUAUGACUCUAUAUGAAUCCAAACAGAUGAACAAUCGGGUUUCCGGAUCCCGAUCGACGGUCACCAAUGAUCGCUCGAUUGUCGCACCGACUUGUCGGAGUAUCACCCCAAUCCUCGAGAUGCCCUGAAAAAAGUCCUACACUUAUCCUACCUCGCCCACUAUCCCAAAACAUCAUUUUAAUGCCAUUGGACCAGCC
This 1677-nucleotide long non-coding RNA is filed under the name Ananas comosus (pineapple). RNAcentral's name for it is "long non-coding RNA (ACOM_LNC016604)". The record is from RNAcentral. Lineage: Eukaryota; Viridiplantae; Streptophyta; Magnoliopsida; Poales; Bromeliaceae.